AUGUUAAAGCGGAUUUUUUGUCA
Molecule: small nuclear RNA, 23 nt
Filed under: Arabidopsis thaliana (thale cress)
Lineage: Eukaryota; Viridiplantae; Streptophyta; Magnoliopsida; Brassicales; Brassicaceae
Description: snRNA_01078
Source: RNAcentral